Molecule: non-coding RNA, 101 nt
Organism: Jatropha curcas
Lineage: Eukaryota; Viridiplantae; Streptophyta; Magnoliopsida; Malpighiales; Euphorbiaceae
Source: Rfam
ACAUAUCUCUAGUUUGUGCGUGAAUCGAACCCCAUCUUGGCCGUUCAUUUUUACGGCCCAUCCAAUGGUGUUAGAUUCACGCAUAAACUCGAAAUCUGUCU